CUGCGUAACAUAUUACGCUUAGGCCCGG
This 28-nucleotide small RNA is filed under the name Bombyx mori (domestic silkworm). RNAcentral describes it as "ovarian small RNA-14915". The record is from RNAcentral. Lineage: Eukaryota; Metazoa; Arthropoda; Insecta; Lepidoptera; Bombycidae.